RNAcentral lists this ribosomal RNA (405 nucleotides) under Richoniella afra. Its description in RNAcentral is "eukaryotic LSU rRNA". It matches the Rfam family "Eukaryotic large subunit ribosomal RNA", at positions 241 to 631 of the family's 3401-position model. Lineage: Eukaryota; Fungi; Basidiomycota; Agaricomycetes; Agaricales; Entolomataceae. The record is from RNAcentral.
GCUUUGUGAUYKGCUCUCAAAGAGUCGAGUUGUUUGGGAAUGCAGCUCUAAAUGGGUGGUAAAUUCCAUCUAAAGCUAAAUAUUGGCGAGAGACCGAUAGCGAACAAGUACCGUGAGGGAAAGAUGAAAAGAACUUUGGAAAGAGAGUUAAACAGUACGUGAAAUUGUUGAAAGGGAAACGCUUGAAGUCAGUCMCAUUGGCUAGGGAUCAACCUUGCUUUUUUGCUUGGUGUACUUCUUGGUUAAUGGGUCAGCAUCAAUUUUGACCAAUGGAAAAAGAUUAAGGGAAUGUGGCAUCUUUUGGAUGUGUUAUAGCCUUYGGUCWCAUACAUUGGUUAGGAUUGAGGAACUCAGCAYGCCGCAAGGCCGGGUUUUUUAACCACGUUCGUGCUUAGGAUGCUGGCA